Molecule: ribosomal RNA, 482 nt
Filed under: uncultured bacterium
Lineage: Bacteria
Description: partial 16S ribosomal RNA
Rfam family: Bacterial small subunit ribosomal RNA
Source: RNAcentral
GACGAACGCUGGCGGCGUGCUUAACACAUGCAAGUCGAACGCUGAAGCUCAGCUUGCUGGGUGGAUGAGUGGCGAACGGGUGAGUAACACGUGAGUAACCUGCCCUCUUCUUUGGGAUAACGCCCGGAAACGGGUGCUAAUACUGGAUAUUCACUGAUUCUCGCAUGGGGGUUGGUGGAAAGGUUUUUUCUGGUGGGGGAUGGGCUCGCGGCCUAUCAGCUUGUUGGUGGGGUGAUGGCCUACCAAGGCUUUGACGGGUAGCCGGCCUGAGAGGGUGACCGGUCACAUUGGGACUGAGAUACGGCCCAGACUCCUACGGGAGGCAGCAGUGGGGAAUAUUGCACAAUGGGCGAAAGCCUGAUGCAGCGACGCCGCGUGAGGGAUGGAGGCCUUCGGGGUGGAAACCUCUUUCGCUCAUGGUCAAGCCGCAGCUUUGGGUUGUGGUGAGGGUAGUGGGUAAAGAAGCGCCGGCUAACUACGUG